GCCCGAAACCGGGUGACCUACCCAUGGUCAGGUUGAAGUGGAAGUAAAAUUCCAUGGAGGACCGAACCGACCUCCGUUGAAAAGGCGGCGGAUGAACUGUGGGUAGCGGAGAAAUUCCAAUCGAACCCGGAGAUAGCUGGUUCUCCCCGAAAUAGUUUUAGGACUAGCCUCAAGUUAGAUACCUGGAGGUAAAGCACUGAAUAGCCUAGCGGCCGAGAGGUUAGCGAAGCUUAUCAAACUCAGAAUGCCAGAGUAUUGAUGCUUGGGAGUCAGACAGUGUCAGAUAAAUGUCAUUGUCAAAAGGGAAACAGCCCAGAUCUACAGCUAAGGUCCCAAAGUCAGGUUAAGUGGAAAACGAUGUGAAGAUACGCAGACAACCAGGAUGUUGGCUCAGAAGCAGCCACUCAUUCAAAGAGUGCGUAAUAGCUCACUGGUCGAGCGUCUUUGCGCGGAGAAUUUAACGGGGCUAAACCUGACACCGAAGCUUAGGCAAUCCAGCAAUGGAUUGGGUAGGGGAGCGUUGUAUACGCGGAGAAACAGUAGCGUAAGCGGCUGUGGAGUGUAUAGAAGUGAGAAUGCCGGAAUGAGUAGCGCGAAUGCAGUGAGAAUCUGCAUGGCCGAAAGCCUCAGGUUUUUGGAGGAAGGUUCGUCCGCUCCAAGUUAGUCGGGAGCUAAGGUGAGGCCGGAAGGCGUAGCCGAUGCACAGACGGUAGAGAUUCCGUCACCACCAAAAGAGUUAAGCACAGGGACACAUUUGAAGUCUCAGAGCCGGGUGUUGGUUCCGGUAGAGAUCGAGGGAAGUUAGUACCGAAGUCUGGGAUGAAGGAUGGCGAGAAAAGCUGUGUGUAUUUCUGAGGUGCCCGUACCGCAAACCGACACAGGUAGGUAGGAAGAAGAUUCUAAGGCCAACGGGAGAAGGGUUGUUAAGGAACUCGGCAAAUUGACCCCGUAACUUCGGGAGAAGGGGUGCUCCAGAGAUGGAGCCGCAGAGAAUCGGCCCAAGCAACUGUUUACCAAAAACACAGGUUUGUGCUAAAUCGAAAGAUGACGUAUACGAGCUGACGCCUGCCCGGUGCUGGAAGGUUAAGAGGAGAUGUGCAAGCAUUGAAUCGAAGCCCCAGUGAACGGCGGCCGUAACUAUAACGGUCCUAAGGUAGCGAAAUUCCUUGUCAGGUAAGUUCUGACCCGCAUGAAAGGCGUAAUGAUUUGGGCACUGUCUCAACAGCCCGCCCGGCGAAAUUGUAGUACCGGUGAAGAUGCCGGUUACCCGCGACAAGACGGAAAGACCCCAUGGAGCUUUACUGUAGCCUAAUAUUGGGUUUCGAUGUUGCAUGCACAGGAUAGAUGGGACACAGGGAAACAAUCGCUUUGGCGGUUGCGGAGUGGCCGUUGGGAUACCAUCCUUGCGAUAUUGGAAUUCUAACCUGCGGCUCUGAAUCGAGUCGGGGGACAUUGUUAGGUGGGCAGUUUGACUGGGGCGGUCGCCUCCUAAAAAGUAACGGAGGCGUUCAAAGGUUCGCUCAGCUUGAACGGAAAUCAAGCAAAAGAGUGCAAACGCAGAAGCGAGCCUAACUGCGAGACUGACGGGUCGAGCAGUAACGAAAGUUGGAGUUAGUGAUCCGGUGGUAUGUGAGUGGAAAUGCCAUCGCUCAACGGAUAAAAGUUACCCUGGGGAUAACAGGCUGAUCUCCCCCAAGAGUCCACAUCGACGGGGAGGUUUGGCACCUCGAUGUCGGCUCAUCGCAUCCUGGGGCUGUAUUCGGUCCCAAGGGUUUGGCUGUUCGCCAAUUAAAGCGGUACGCGAGCUGGGUUCAGAACGUCGUGAGACAGUUCGGUCCCUAUCUGUCGUGGGCGCAGGAUAUUUGAUGGGAGCUGUCCCUAGUACGAGAGGACCGGGACGGACGUACCUCUGGCGCACCAGUUGUUCCGCCAGGAGCAUAGCUGGGCAACUACGUACGGAUCGGAUAAACGCUGAAAGCAUCUAAGCGUGAAGCCGACCCAAAGAUAAGAUAUCCCACUGAUUUGAUCAGGUAAGACCCCUUGAAGACUACAAGGUUGAUAGGCACGAUGUGUAAGUGGAGUGAUCCAUUCAGCAAGCGUGUACUAAUAGGUCGAGGGCUUGACCAC
RNAcentral lists this ribosomal RNA (2127 nucleotides) under Faecalibacterium prausnitzii. RNAcentral's name for it is "23S ribosomal RNA". It matches the Rfam family "Bacterial large subunit ribosomal RNA", at positions 712 to 2925 of the family's 2925-position model. Lineage: Bacteria; Bacillati; Bacillota; Clostridia; Eubacteriales; Oscillospiraceae. The record is from RNAcentral.